This 8429-nucleotide long non-coding RNA is filed under the name Lactuca sativa (garden lettuce). Its description in RNAcentral is "long non-coding RNA (LSAT_LNC009123)". Lineage: Eukaryota; Viridiplantae; Streptophyta; Magnoliopsida; Asterales; Asteraceae. The record is from RNAcentral.
ACGGCAACUUGGUCGGGUGCGACCAAAAUCCCCGUCUAAAGCCGGUAUCGGGUAGAAUUCCACCGUGUCCAAAUCCCAAGCACUAUUUAAAGUGAAUCAAACUUCCAUUUGAAGCUUUUGCUUCAUCUCACUACUCUCUCUCAAACCUCUCUCCUCAACAAAGAUUAAGGUCCAAAAACAUAGAAUUAAGGCUCCAAAUCAUAGAGGUAACUUCCCUAACUUGUUAUUCAACCUCUUAAGCCUUCAAAUCUGUGUUUAAUAUGUGAUUUUGGACCUCGAACAUGUGUUUACGGCCAAGGAUCAUGCUUGGGCCGUAAACACUUAAUAAAUGGGUUUUUUGAGCAAUUAAACCCCUCCAAAUCAAUCUUGGGACUUAGAUACGACUAUAUGGCUUACAAAUCCGGACUUAGAACACCCUAAACAUGGAUUUUGAGGAGAAUAUAAGAGUUUACGGACAAGGAACAUGCUUGGGCCGUAAACCCCUCGUACAUGAGGAGUAAACUCAUUUUUGCAUGUUAAAAAGGCAUAUAACUCCACCAAUAGCCUUGGAAUAAAUCCUAGAAUCAUCUAAAAAUAGUUUGGGGACUUUAAUCAUAUCAAACACCCUCCAAAUGAGAGUUUACGGCCAUGACACUCCAAGAACAAGUCCCAGGGCCGUAAAAUCCUCUAUAGGUGUCAAAUGAUGCCAAAAACUCAUACCAAGGCUUGGAAGAUUAGUUAGAAUCACAUGUGAUUGUCCUAGCCUCACAAAAUAAUUUUGGUUUGGACUUGGGGGAGGGGGGGGGGNNNNNNNNNNNNNNNNNNNNNNNNNNNGGGGGAGUUUACGGCCGUAAAAUCCAAGUUUACUGCCGUGAACUCCCAUAAAUAAUAUAUAUGGUAGUACAAUCCAUUCCAAGGGUUUAGAAAAAUCCAUUCCAUCAUUCCCCAUGUUCAUUUAAGCCAUUUAGCACCCCAAAUCACCCAAUCAUGACUUCACGGCCGUCAACUCAUGUAUGUAUGGGGUAUAUGGCCGAAAACUCCAUAAGGACUUUACUCUUGAAGAGUAAACUCAAUUCCCAAGUCCCUCGCAUCAUUACACGUCUGUAGAUGUCACCCGGGUCACUCCAAACACUCGUUUGGAGUGUUUUAGCUCAUUGGAGUGUAGUAUCCUAUCUAAUUAGUAUUUUUAAAGCUAAUUAGAUAUAUUUGGACAUUAUUUCAUACUACAUAGGAACCCCGCGUGUAAUCAAACCCCGAACCAACAUUUAGUGUCCGAAACAGUUGCACCUUCUCGUCUAGUGAGUUCAUACCCCUAUCCUUUUUCACUGUUUUCACUGUUUUCAGGGGGAAUACAAGAAAAGUACAAUGGAUAAUUGUACUUAAAACUUGUUUUACAUGUGUAUGUUUCAAAACAUAUUUGCUUUUAACACUGAUAACCACAACUGAUAACUGUUUGAAAGUUGUAGGGUAAUCAUAUACAUUAUUUGUGAAAUUAGUUGUAAAUUGUUAUGUUUUAUUUAUUUCACAAAUGGUUUUCCACAAUUUAUGAGUUAAAAGCAUGACAUUAGAACCUUUGAACAUAAAACUUUGUACACUGUUUUGUCCUCGGUAACACUCCACAGAGAUACGCGAGUGGAGGAUUAUCAUACUAUUACUAGUAAAUUUGUUAGUCCUAUGUAAUUGGAGACACGUCCUCGGCGAACACUCCACAGAGAUACGCGAGUGGAGGACUGCACCUGUAACCAGAAUCUCUUAGAUAGGGAGCAUGACUUGAGUGUAUAGAUCUAUACGGGGCUGACUACCCCACACCUGGCUACUAGCUACAGCCGAACCAAAAUGGUUCAAGGGUGACGAAAGGCAUAAGGUGAUGUGGACUACUUAUUGCCAUAUCUAGUCUAUCGUAUGGUUAUGGAACUCGCAAUUAGGAUAACAGGGAUUUACUUAAUAGUAAUAAUGAAUAAAGUAAUUAGUUUACUUUGCUUUAAAACUAAUACAUUUCACAACGACAACCGGGUUUUCAGAUUACAUCUUUCACAAUUGGUAACCAACAUUCAGGAAAAUAUGGGAUUUUCCUGGGGAAUAUUAUACAUAAUCAGAAAAGUGUAAUCAACCGGAUAACUUUACAUUUCAUAACUGUUAACAUGUUUUCAGUGUACAACUUUACAUCACAUUUUGGCAUUCGAUAACCAACAAUUAAGAAAAUAUGGGAUUUUCUUGGUGUGUAACAUUUUCAGAAACAGAAAGGAAACAUGUACAUUUUUCACAAACCAAAAUCGCUUAUAAACUCACCAGCGUUAUGCUGAUUUUCAAACCGCUUGUAUUCUCAGGUCAGCGUUAGACAGGUACCCGAAGAUCCUUUUGUUUAUAUAUAUACUAUGUAUCACAUGUACAACUUUACUUUUGAAACAAUUGCAAAACUUUUCUAUAUGUAAUGUAAUGGUUGUUUUACUUUACUUAGGAUGUGCAUUGGAUUUGAUACUCAACAUGGAGUCAACCCCGUAAAUAUUUCCGCCUUCGGUUUUCAGGGUGUGACAGAUUGGUAUCAGAGCCCUUGUUUAUAGUGAAUAAAGUAUACCAAACCUUACAUGGUAUAAAACUAUAAACACUAAAGGGCCUAAGUGCUCUGAAUUAAAAGUAUCUUCAAACUAUAAGUAUUUUUAAAAGAAUACAAGUAUACCGAACCGUCGAGAUCUGUAACUACAAGUAGAACAAAACAUAAGUAAAUGGGUGUUGUGUACUGCGGUUAAACCUGGGCAGUUAUGUAGUCGUGUCUAGGAUCAAUAUAGCCUGGCCAACUAUAUUCAUUCGAGACACGACCAACAUGUGCUUGGGAGUGACUGUGGUAUGCGGCAUGCCUAAAACUUACCCUAAUACCAAAAACAUCGAACCAGUGUCGUAGCGAAUCAUGAAAUACUAUGGGAGUAUUUUUCGAGCCAAUUCUUUGUAGAAAUCCUUGUUCAUUCGUUUUUCCUUGAUCAUUCCUUUAGCGAUAAUUUAUCUGCUUUGAUAACUCUUUCCUGCUUAUUCAAUUCAGAGGACUUACCAUCCUCUUUCUUUCUUGAUCUUAUUAGAUUAAGAUGCCUCCCAGAAAGAGACCCAACUCCAAGACCAACAACCCUCCGCCACCAGCUCCUCCUGAAAUUGACCUCGUGGUAUUUCAGGCAGCUGUUACCGCCGCGGUGGCAGCUGCCAUGUCUCAAUUGAACACCGGUGGUUCCGGAGGUGGAAAUCAAACUCAGAACCAAGAAAGCAAUCAGCGACACCAAAAGGAGGGUUCCAAUAAGGACUUCAUGAAUGCGAAACCAACAUCUAUUGAUGUCACUGGAGGUGUCAUUUCCUUAUCUCGAUGGUUCGAGAAAAUCGAAUCCAUUUUUGAAAUCUGUGCCUGUGCGGAGUCCGGUAAAGUCAAAUUCGCAACUUGUACCUUCAUUGAUAAGGCCAUGACUUGGUGGAACAGCCGAGUCAAAUCCCUGACCCUACCCAUAGCCAAUGCCAUGGGCUGGGAAGCCAUGAAAGAACUCCUGAUAGCCGAAGCCGAAUACUGUCCCCGUGGUGAAAUGCAGAAACUAGAGCACGAGCUCUGGAACCUGAAGAUGAAAGGUUCCGAUAUUGCUGCAUACACUGCCCGAUUCGAUGAUCUCGCACUUCUUUGCCCGGGAUUGGUCACUCCUGAAAGUAAGAAGAUCGAAAGAUUCAUUUGGGGUUUGACCCAGCCAACAAAGGGAAAUGUCUUAGCUGCACGUCUGGAUACCUAUGAUAGUGCCAAGACUUUAGCCCAAACCCUAAUUGAUCAUAGUGAUGAUGUCGAGGAAACCACUACCACUCCUGAGCCGACCAAGAGGAGUGGUGAGAAGAGUAAGUUAUGGAAGAAGAAGAAGGGUCAAUUUUCCCAAGGAUCUUCCAAGAAACAGUAGACUGUAGCAGUCCAUGCUGCUACUACCCCCGUUGCUGCUGCUUCUGUUGUGGGAUCCACAGCUCCAACUCCUACUAGCAGAUAUGUUGGUAGUCUUCCUCUGUGUGACAAGUGCAAGUACCACCACAACCCCGGCCUCUGCCAAGAACUAUCUUGUACCAAUUGUGGUAAGAAGGGGCACACGGUCCGAUUCUGCAAAGCUCCGGCCCAAUCGACCAAUCAAUCAUUUGGAGCAGGCGUUGGUCAAGCCUGCUAUAACUGUGGAGAGGUUGGACAUUUUAAAAGGAAUUGCCCCAAGAAGUCAAUAGCUGAUAAUACUGGGAGAGUUCUAGCCAUGGGAUGGGAGGAAGCAGUCGUCGAUCCCACUGUAGUCUCGGGUACGUUCCUUCUCGAUAACUCAUAUGCUAGUAUUCUUUUCGAUCCGGGUGCUGAAACAAGCUUUGUUAGUCAUGCAUUCAAACAUAUCCUAAAACAUAAUCCUCAACCUUUAACUAAAAUGUUUACUGUCGAGAUGGCAAACAGUGAGAAAGAAAGUGCCAGCGAGGUGUUCAUAGGUUGUACCUUUACCCUGAACGACCACUCAUUUCCUAUAGAUCUCAUGCCGGUUUCCAUAAAGAGAUUUGAUGUCAUCAUUGGCAUGGAUUGGUUGAGUCCCAAUCAUGCAGAUAUCCUUUGUUUCGAAAAAGCCAUCCGUCUCAACCUUCCUUCGGGUCAGACACUCGUAAUCUAUGGCGAUAAACUCAGUUCCAAUCUUCGCAUUAUUUCCUGCAUCAAAGCUCAGAAACUCCUGCGAAAGCAGUGCAUUGCAUUCUUAGCCCAUGUAAUCAACGAGAAACAGGAAGUUAACGACCUCACGAGCAUUCCCGAAGUCUGUAACUUUCCUGAUGUAUUUCCCGAAGAGCUUCCAGGAAUUCCUCCCGAGCGUCAAGUGGAGUUCCAUAUUGACCUAAUUCCUGGAGCUACUCCCGUAGCGAAAUCUACGUAUCGCUUAGCUCCAACAAAAAUGCAGGAGUUAUCCAGGCAACUCAAUGAGUUGCUUAGUAAAGGAUUCAUUCGACCGAGUUCCUCACCCUGGGGAGCUCCGGUAUUGUUCGUUAAGAAGAAAUAUGGAUCCUUUCAGAUGUGUAUCGAUUAUCGCGAGCUGAUCAAGUUGACCGUAAAAAACCGAUAUCCUCUUCCACGAAUAGAUGACCUCUUCGAUCAACUCUAGGGAGCCAGUUACUUCUCCAAGAUAGUCCUUCGGUCAGGGUACCAUCAACUACUAGUUCAUGAGAGUGAUGUUUCCAAAACAACUUUCAGGACUCGAUAUGGACACUACGAGUUCAUAGUGAUGCCCUUCGGUCUAACCAACGCACCAGCGGUGUUCAUGGACCUGAUGAACCGGGUGUGUCGUCCUUAUCUGGACAAGUUCGUCAUUGUAUUCAUUGAUGACAUACUUGUCUAUUCCCGAAGUGAAGAAGAUCACAAACAGCACUUGAAGCUAGUGUUGGAAACCCUUAGAUUCGAGAAGUUGUACGCGAAAUUUUCCAAAUGUGAGUUCUGGAUUUGGAAGGUAACUUUCCUCGGUCACGUGGUCAGCGAGGAGGGUAUUCAUGUAGAUCCUUCCAAGAUUAAAGAAAUAGAAAAUUGGUUGGCACCGAAGACACCCAUAGAAAUCCGGCACUUCUUGGGUCUCGCCGGCUAUUAUCGGAGAUUUAUCCAGAACUUUUCCAGAAUCGCGAAACCUCUAACCACUCUAACACAGAAAGGUAUACCCUUUUGUUGGAGUGAUAAACAAGAAACCGCAUUCCAGACGUUGAUGAAAGCCUUGUGCAGCGCGCCUGUUAUGUCCCUACCCGAAGGGACAGAGGACUUCGUUGUCUACUGCGAUGCGUCUAAUCAAGGCUUAGGCUGCGUGCUUAUGCAAAGAGGAAAAGUAACAGCUUAAGCCUCUAGACAGCUGAAAGAACACGAGGUUAACUAUACCACGCAUGACUUGGAGUUAGGAGCCGUAGUCUUUGCACUGAAGCUUUGGAGACAUUACCUCUACGGAACCAAGUGUACGAUCUUCACUGACCACAAGAGCCUGCAACACAUCUUUGAUCAGAAAGACUUGAACAUGAGGCAACGGCGAUGGGUAGAACUACUCAGCGAUGAUGAGUGUGAAAUUCGUUACCAUCCCGACAAGGCCAAUGUGGUAGCAAAUGCCCUUAGCCGGAAGGAGAGUUCAAGCCGAAAAGUGAAGAACCUGAUGAUGACCAUCCGUUCCAACUUAUCCAUGCAAAUUCGAGAAGCCCAAUUAGAAGCACUCAAACCCGAGAACGUGUCAAUCGAAGCCUUGAGAGGAAUGGAAAAGAAACUUGAGAUUAGAGGUGACGGAGUCUACUGCUUCAUGGAUCGAAUCUGGAUUCCAAAGUCCGGAGGAUUCAGGGAGAUUGUCAUGGAGGAAGCGCACAAGACCAGAUACUCUGUUCACCCGGGUUCGGACAAGAUGUACCUGGAUCUCAAGAAACAAUACUAGUGGCCAAACAUGAACGCUGAGAUAGCUACGUUCGUGGGCAAGUGUCUGACUUGCGCCAAGGUUAAAGUCGAGCACCAGAAACCCUCGGGUCUACUCCAGCAGCCCGAGAUACCCGAAUGGAAAUGGGAGAUGAUUACCAUGGAUUUCAUCACCAAGUUACCCAAGUGUCCGAGUGGGUAAGAUACCAUUUGGGUAAUUGUCGAUCGUUUAACAAAGUCUGCUCACUUCAUCCCGAUCAAAGAAUCAUUCAAGAUGGAAAGACUUGUGCGAAUUUACAUUUAAGAGGUAGUCCGACUGCACGGUGUACCUGCGUCCAUUAUCUCUGAUCAAGGUAUCAGGUUUACCUCCAGAUUCUGGUAGUCUCUCUAGAAGGCUCUUGGAACCAAACUAGACAUGAGCACGACGUAUCAUCCUCAAACCGAUGGACAAAGUGAGAGAACAAUCCAAACCCUGGAGGACAUGCUUAGGGCAUGUGUCAUUGACUUUGGAAAGUCGUGGGACACACAAUUACCUUUGAUCGAGUUCUCGUACAACAACAGUUACCACACCAGCAUUAGGGCUGCCCCGUUUGAAGCCCUAUAAGGUCGUAAGUGUAGAUCCCCUCUGUGUUGGGCCGAGGUGGGGGAUACACAGCUAGCCAAGAGUCGAGUCCCUGACAGUGCUCUCACUGGUCCUGAAAUCAUCCGCGAAACCACCGAGAAGAUCAUCCAUAUCCAGGAAUGAUUCAAAGCUUCACGAGAUCGCCAAAAGAGUUACGCUGACAACCGUCGGAAACCUCUGGAAUUCCAGGUCAGAGACCGUGUCCUGUUGAAAGUCUCGCCCUGUAAAGGCACGGUACGCUUUGGAAAGCAUGGUAAACUUAAUCUGAGGUACAUUGGACCCUUCGAGAUCCUCGCCAGGAUCGGUCCAGUAGCCUAUAAACUUCGUUUACCCCAUGAGCUCAGUAACAUCCAUCCCGUCUUCCAUGUUUCAAAUCUCAAGAGGUGCUUAUACGAUGAAACCCCAGUGAUUCCUUUAGACGAGAUCGAGAUCAAUUAAAACCUCAACUUCGUGAAGGAACCAAUCGAAAUCAUGGAUCGAGAAGUCAAACGUACAAAGCAAAGCCGCAUCCCGUUGGUGAAGGUUCGCUGGAAUGCCAAGCGGGGACCGGAGUUCACUUGGAAGCGUGAAGACUUGAUGAAACAACAGUAUCCGCAUCUCUUUCCAGAUCCAUGAUUUGUAUCUUGACUUGUAUCUUAAUUUUGAAUUUCGAGACGAAAUUCCCUCUAACGGGGGGUAAUGUAACAACCCAAAAUUUCGUAUCAUUUCUUAUAACCCUUUUCGUAAUCCAUUUCGAUCAACCAAUCGUCGUAUUCAAAUUCGUUUCCGAUUUAGCCAUUUAAUUAAGUCAUUAAAUUGAAAUUAUCUAAAAUGACUUAAUGGGUGUUCAAACACAUUUAGAACUCAUUCUAACACCCCGUAUUAGUGAUCAGAACAUUUCUAGAAUCGACCAUGUCGGGUUACGGCAACUUGGUCGGGUGCGACCAAAAGCCCCGUCUAAAGCCGGUAUCGGGUAGAAUUCCACCGUGUCCAAAUCCCGAGCACUAUUUAAAGUGAAUCAAACUUCCAUUUGAAGCUUUUUCUUCAUCUCACUACUCUCUCUCUAACCUCUCUCCUCAACCAAGAUUAAGGUCCAAAAACAUAGAAUUAAGGCUCCAAAUCAUAGAGGAACUUCCCUAACUUGUUAUUCAACCUCUUAAGCCUUCAAAUCUGUGUUUAAUAUGUGAUUUUGAACCUGGAACAUGUGUUUACGGCCAAGGAGCAUGCUUGGGCCGUAAACACUUAAUAAAUGGGUUUUUUGAGCAAUUAAACCCCUCCAAAUCAAUCUUGGGACUUAGAUACGACUAUAUGGCUUACAAAUCCGGACUUAAAACACCCUAAACAUGGAUUUUGAGGAGCAUAUAAGAGUUUAUGGCCAAGGAACAUGCUUGGGCCGUAAACUCCUCAUACAUGGGGAGUAAACUCAUUUUUGCAUGUUAAAAAGCCAUAUAACUCCAC